Molecule: ribosomal RNA, 453 nt
Filed under: Amanita cokeri
Lineage: Eukaryota; Fungi; Basidiomycota; Agaricomycetes; Agaricales; Amanitaceae
Description: LSU rRNA
Rfam family: Eukaryotic large subunit ribosomal RNA
Source: RNAcentral
CGGAGGAAAAGAAACUAACAAGGAUUCCCCUAGUAACUGCGAGUGAAGCGGGAAGAGCUCAAAUUUAAAAUCUGGCAGCAUUUGGCUGUCCGAGUUGUAAUCUAGAGAAGUGUUGCCCGUGCUGGACCGUGUACAAGUCUCCUGGGAUGGAGCGUCAUAGAGGGUGAGAAUCCCGUCUUUGACACGGACUACCAGUGCAUUGUGGUAUGCUCUCAAAGAGUUGAGUUGUUUGGGAAUGCAGCUCUAAAUGGGUGGUAAAUUCCAUCUAAAGCUAAAUAUUGGCGAGAGACCGAUAGCGAACAAGUACCGUGAGGGAAAGAUGAAAAGAACUUUGGAAAGAGAGUUAAACAGUAUGUGAAAUUGUUGAAAGGGAAACGUUUGAAGUCAGUCGCGUUGGCCAGGGAUCAAGCCAGCUAAUUUGGGGUGNNUAUAUCUCCUGGUCNAUGGGCCAAC